Molecule: long non-coding RNA, 2312 nt
Filed under: Polistes fuscatus (common paper wasp)
Lineage: Eukaryota; Metazoa; Arthropoda; Insecta; Hymenoptera; Vespidae
Description: uncharacterized LOC122520055
Source: RNAcentral
GAAAGAAAGAAAGAAAGAGAGGAAGUGAGUAGGUGUGUGAGAAAGAGAGAGAGUGAGAGAGAAAUUAAAAAAUGUCAUAAGUAACACAAUAGUGCAGUAGCAAAAUGAAAAAGACGGUUAUAGUUUCUAUUUUGAAGAUUGUAUUUUUUUAAAACUCUUUAUUCAUUUCGACUUCCACAUAACGCGCACUUAUUUAUAUCUAUGCGAAUUAGGUGCGCCAUAUGUGUGCGCGUGUGUGUGUGUAUGUGUAUGCGUUUACCAUGGUUAAGAACGAAAGAAUUUGUGUGUGACAUGUAUGUAUGUAUGUAUGUAUGUAUGUAUGUAUAUCUGUUGUUGUUAUGUUAAACGUAUGCGUGGGUGGUGAAUUAAAUGACGCCCACAUAAUUUGCGUAUCUUCAAACGGGAUGUGUAUCGUAAAAUAAUUUUUCUUUGCCUCCUACGAAUCUUUCGCCAGAUUUUUUACGCGUUUUAUAAUCAACGAACAAACGGAUCGGAACGGAAUGGAACGAAAUAAUACAAUGCGAAUAAAAAACACAUAAAUACACCACAAAAGCCAUAGAUAUACGUAUUUAUCGAAACACUUAUAGGAAUUUUACGCGAAACGUUUCGCAAGGGGCAGAUGAAAUAUUUGUUCUUAUGAUAAUAGUGGGUUUUUUGGUUUUUUUUCUUUUCUUUUCUUCUUUUUUUUUUAAUACGGAAAGUCAGCCAUCAUCGUUUUACUAAAACUCGUUACUUCGUAUAUAUAUAUGCAUAACAAUAGGGUGCUUCGUACACAUCUGCUCGAUCGUUAACAAAAUAAAUAUAUAUAAAUAAGUAAAUUAAUAAAAAGGAAAAUAUAUAUAAAAUUGGAAAGGAAAAAAAAAUUCAUUACGAACACCGUGCUUCUCGAUAUAUCCAUGCAUAUAUUUAUAUACAUAUACAUAUAUAUAUAUAUAUAUAUAUAUAUAUAUAUAUAUAUGCACUCUUCUGUGAUUGAUUGCUUCAUUUAAGUGUGAACAACGUAUGGUAUAUCAUUUCUAUACAUAUAUACGAGUAUUAUCAGUGACGAUAUAGAAAUUAACGAGAAACGAUUAUAUUCGAUUACUUUUUUCCAACAUGGCCGACGGAAGUGUACGAAGAUAUUUUUAUUUUAAAUUUUAAACCGAGGGGGAAAAAGAAUUGGAAAGGAAAAAAAAACAAAGUAUAUAUUAAGAAUACACGUGUAAGUAAUUACUUCAUGUACUUAUUUACAUAACACGUUCAUUGAUAAUAUCAAACUUAUAACAAAAAAAAAAAGGCAAUCGAUUCUCGCUACUAUAGUCUCGUUGCAAAACUAGUUAGCUUAGGUAGGCAAAACAAUUGUGUGUACAUAUAUUUAAUUAAUAUUAACGUUGUAAGUAAAUGUGUAUAUAUAUAUAUAUAUAUACACGUAUAUCUGGGAAUAUCGCGCAUUAACAAGCACAGAUGCAUUUAUUAUCGGAAAGAUCAGGAUCGGCCAAUGGAAUUAGCUGAUUAGGGCCUAUGAAUGUAUACAAAAAUAAAUAAUAAUAAAAAAAAGAAAAAAAUAAAUAAAAAUAAAAAUAAAAAAUAAAAUAAAAAUAGAAAUAUAUAAAAAACAUUAAGAACAGAAGGACAAAAGUAAAGAAGAAAAGGUAGGGGGUUGGAUAAGUAUAUGGAGGCAGAGAAUUGUUAAAAAAAAAAUAUACAUAUGUCAAUCAUUAGAAAAUUUUCUACCUUACCAAACGACGAUAAGAGAUAAAUAAUAAUAAUAAUAAUAAUAAAACGAAAGAAGGUGGAGGGGGAAGAGAAAAAAAAAUUAAUUGAUCACGUCACAAAAGUAGUAAAUGUCAAAAAAAAAGAAUCGUCGUUAUCGUGCGUCGAUAAUAUAGGAAUCAUCGUUAUCGUUUAGAUUCGCGCAACGAGAAGAAGAAAUUUUACUGAUUAACAACGACGAGGACGACGAUGACGACGACGACGAGACAGUAGAGGCCUUCGUUCUCUUUGCGUGUUCGCCACUAUUUUUGUAGUAGAGGUCUAGAUACGAAAGGAAAACGAACGGGUGUCGCGUGGUUCGUGAGAUUUUUACAUUCAGUACGGCUCGGGGCUUCAGUCGGAUCGAGCUCAGGAGGCCUCUUCUUCCGACACCGUCGUCUUUUUACUACUACUCAUCAUCAUCAUCAUCAUCAUCAUCAUCAUCUCCAGUUAAAUUUGUAAUCGUAUACUCGUCGUCCCCGUCUCUCGUUUUGUUAUUAAUAAAGAAAAAAAAAAUUUCAAGAAGACAGAAUAAAAACCAUUCGACGAGGGAAUAAAAUAAACUUCUAUUUUUAAACAAA